Long non-coding RNA from Passer domesticus (house sparrow), 709 nucleotides. RefSeq lists it as uncharacterized. The record is from RefSeq and is a predicted model, not a curated record. NCBI's taxonomy places the organism in Eukaryota, Metazoa, Chordata, Aves, Passeriformes, Passeridae. The transcript is spliced from 3 exons.
UAUAGGAGGCAGCAAAAAAACUUCAAGUAGCCAUUUUCCAGCAAGUUUGAAGAAAAAACCCUCAGGUACCCCCUGCACUGAGGAAAGACACACCCUGGCACUGACAGUGACGUAUGGCCUGGCUCUGAGCUUCGUCAGAUGCCAUAUGCUUCGGCUGAGAGAUAGCUGACAGCCACGACAGCACAUCAAUUAUUGUCAUCCAGCCACCUACUAGAACGCACAGGGGCUCAUCCCAGCUUCUUUGUCAUAUCACUACAAGAACUCAUUAAGUGUUCUGUGUUUAAACCCCUUGCUUUUCUCUAGAAAAAUAAAUUAAUCUAAUUGUGGCUGACGCAAAGGCUUGGGUUGGGCAAGGAUGGUGCCAGCAAAGGCUCUGUGGUUGAGGAUACACCAUCACAACCAGCAGUUUGGAAGACACCCCUCAGAAAGCUGCUUCUGCAACUCCCCCCUAGAACACCAUCUACGUCUCAAACUGACUGGGACAGCAACGUGGAAAACAGAAUCCAAAACUUCAAUUUUGCUCCCCUGGCUGAUAGUGACAGUUUUAAAAUAUGCAAACUCUACUCCCAUACUCUUUUUUCUCACACAAGAAACUGGGUGCUUUAAGACCUUCACCCUGAGUACUUAAUUAUUACUUGUCUUUCUGGAAUACAAUUUCUAUCAUUAUUCAAGGAUCCAAUCUAGAAUUAGAAAGAAAAUUACACCACAA